This 485-nucleotide ribosomal RNA is filed under the name uncultured bacterium. RNAcentral's name for it is "bacterial SSU rRNA". It matches the Rfam family "Bacterial small subunit ribosomal RNA", at positions 28 to 507 of the family's 1533-position model. The record is from RNAcentral.
GAUGAACGCUAGCGGCAGGCUUAACACAUGCAAGUCGAGGGGCAGCGCGAUGUAGCAAUACAUUGGCGGCGACCGGCGCACGGGUGCGUAACACGUAUGGAACUUACCCUUUACUGGGAGAUAGCCCGGAGAAAUCCGGGUUAAUAUCCCAUAAUAAACGAAGUGGCAUCACUUUGUUUUGAAAGCUCCGGCGGUAAAGGAUGGCCAUGCGCACGAUUAGCUAGUAGGUGAGGUAACGGCUCACCUAGGCUACGAUCGUUAGGGGGCCUGAGAGGGUUAUCCCCCACACUGGUACUGAGACACGGACCAGACUCCUACGGGAGGCAGCAGUGAGGAAUAUUGCGCAAUGGAGGCAACUCUGACGCAGCCAUGCCGCGUGCAGGAAGAAGGCGCUACGCGUUGUAAACUGCUUUUAACCGGGAAGAAACCCUCCGACGUGUCGGAGGUUGACGGUACCGGAGGAAUAAGCACCGGCUAACUUCGUG